GUGUGUGUGUGAGUGUGUGUGUGUGUGUGUGUGUGUGUGAGAGUGUGUGUGUGAGAGUGUGUGUGUGAGAGUGUGUGUGUGAGAGUGUGUGUGUGAGAGUGUGUGUGUGAGAGUGUGUGUGUGUGUGUGUGUGUGUGUGUGUGUGUGUGUGAGAGUGUGUGUGUGUGUGAGAGUGUGUGAGAGUGUGUGUGAGAGUGUGUGUGAGAGUGUGUGAGAGUGUGUGUGAGAGUGUGUGUGAGAGUGUGUGUGAGAGUGUGUGUGAGAGUGUGUGUGAGAGUGUGUGUGAGAGUGUGUGUGAGAGUGUGUGUGAGAGUGUGUGUGAGAGUGUGUGUGUGAGAGUGUGUGUGUGAGAGUGUGUGUGAGUGUGUGUGUGUGAGAGUGUGUGUGAGAGUGUGUGUGAGAGUGUGUGUGAGAGUGUGUGUGAGAGUGUGUGUGAGAGUGUGUGUGAGAGUGUGAGAGUGUGUGAGAGUGUGAGAGUGUGUGUGAGUGUGUGAGAGAGUUGGACGGACUUGCUUUUAGAGUUUGAUUUUUGUGUAAAAGUUGCAUACCCUUCAGAUAAAAGUAGAACACCACCAAAUACGCCAACAAUACAUUUAGCGUGUCUGUUUUUCCAGACGUCUCCGACGUCCUCAGUAACGUCAGGGUCUAUGUUAAGAUGUUCAGUAGGGUAUUUCUGUUCAAGUCCCCCAGACCUGCUCGAGAACUAUUUAAACACCAGCAUCGACAUCUACUGCAUGAAUAAGUCCAAACGGCGAGAUGGUGAGAGAACCCGGAUCUCUCGAAGGCUAAUACCGGUUCCCUUAAGUGGAGCAGAGACAGCAAACUGUAUUCUGAAGAGCUAUACGUUCGUCUCGGGAGACAGGAUGGACUCGGUUAGGGCCGAGAGUCGGCGUGCCAUGAGUGAGAAUAUGAUGGAGAAUUAGAAUCUAUGUAGAUUUGAGAUUGGGGUUGCACUCACUCACACACUCGCAUAUUCACACACACUCACAUAUUCACACACUCACAUAUUCACACACACUCACAUAUUCAUACACACUCACAUAUUCACACACACAUGCUCAUUAACUCACAUAUUCACACACGCUCACUCACUCACUCACUCACUCUCAUAUUCACACACACUCACAUAUUCACACACUCACACAUUCACACACACUCACUCGCUCACUCACUCUCAUAUUCACACACACUCACUCACUCACUCACUCACUCUCAUAUUCACACACACUCACAUAUUCACACACACUCACAUAUUCACACACACAUGCUCAUUAACUCACAUAUUCACACACGCUCACUCACUCACUCUCAUAUUCACACACUCACAUAUUCAUACACACUCACUCACACACUCACAUAUUCACACACACACUCACAUAUUCACACACACACAUAUUCACACACACUCUCAUAUUCACACACAUAUUCACACACACAUACUCAUUAACUCACAUUCACACAUACACACACUCACUCACACUCAUAUUCACACACUCACAUAUUCAUACACACUCACUCACACACUCACAUAUUCACACACACACUCACAUAUUCACACACACACAUAUUCACACACACUCACAUAUUCACACUCACUCACACACUCGCAUAUUCA
Long non-coding RNA from Ictalurus punctatus (channel catfish), 1615 nucleotides. The record is from Ensembl. NCBI's taxonomy places the organism in Eukaryota, Metazoa, Chordata, Actinopteri, Siluriformes, Ictaluridae.